UCCACCCCAACUUUCUUGCAAAAACUAACUUCUUUCCUUACAUCUAUCAGGGAUACCUGUUGUGGGGUUGUGACUAUAACUGCACCAUCUAUUCCAGUUGUUUGGAGGAAUUGAACGAUUGAAAUAUGUUCAUCUGACGUCCCAGGUGGAGCAUCAACCACAAGGAAAUCAAGCUCUCCCCAAUAAACUUCUUUGAGGAAUUGCUUAAUUAGACCAUUCUUGCGAGGCCCUCUCCAUAUGACAGCUUCAUCAGGGUUGGGGAGCAUGAAACCAAUUGACAUAACCCCAAGGUUAGACUCAACGUAAACAGGGGACCAUCCAAUAUUACUCUGGUGUAUCUCUCGUCCUUCGAGACCAAGCAUCUUUGGGAUGCUGGGGCCACAGAUAUCAAUGUCAAGGAGACCUACUUGAAAAUCCAUAGCUGCCAAUGCAAAAGCAAGUUGAGCUGAGAAAGUACUCUUACCAACUCCACCUUUGCCAGAUAAAACCAGUAUCUUGUGCUUCACAGUUGCCAUUCUUUCUACUAUUGCAACCAAGUCUGCACGAAACCAUCAAUACAAAACCGCCGAAAAUGAGUACCAUGUGUAUAUCAUUGAUAAAUAAAGCCUAUCAUGAUACCACUGUACCACAGGUAAAAAUAAUUAAGGGAAAACAAACGGCUGGAAAAUACCGCAUGUAUUGGAACUUUACCUUUACUUAAGAAAAAAAUAUACCGCAUGUAUUGGAACUCAGAUAUGUCCUAACUUGGUAAAUUAAACAAGCCAAUUAGUAUUACGCUAUCGACCACUUUAUCAUAUCAAUUUUCGACAACCUAGCUCUCAGUAUCAAACAAGUUAUCCAUUAGAAAGCGCAAUCAACAAUCCCCCAAACUUUCCUUUGCUACUCAUUGCAGUAUACUAUACAUACAAGAAAGAGCAACUUGAGUUGCACCAUAUCUACACACAAUCAUCAGAUCAAAAUCAACAUGCCAAAACAACAGUUUUUAAAUUAGAAAAGGUAACAUUGAAAUGGAAGAUAGAUGCCUCUGCCUGACAGGUGCUUGAUUUUAUUUAGAGGUUCUAGUGUGUGAACAUUAGCACAUUUGUCUCUGGAGAAGAUGAUCCUUUCUUUCCCUUUUCCGGAUUAACAAAAAAGAGUCAUGGCAACAGCAGUAUAAUUUUGUUGUUGCUCAUUCUACAACGAUUUCUUAAGAAAAUAGAAUAAAUUAGACUACUUCUUCUUAAGUUGGCUUCUUGCUGCAGAGACUAAAAACUCCCAUCCUACCAAUUAUCGCAACGCAUGCACUUUGGAGCUUUGUAUAUAUCUUUUCUUUCCUUUUGCAUAUGACAUGCCAAGUUUGUCUUUUUCUCUGAACUAUAUGAAAAACGUUCUCUUUUCUUCCUAGUACUUAUUCCAAGCUAAUGCUUUACGCUUUUUAACUCAUUCCUAAGUUAAUGGUUUUAUUAAGAUUCCAACAUAACUAAUUUAAAUAUCCAUCCUUUGUGCCUUUUAGGUACUUCAUGAGCAUGGUUAAAGCCAAAGACCCUUAGGACCAACCACAGCCUUCCAAACUAGGGAUAAUAUGUUCACCUCUCUAAGCUUCUCCACUCAAAUACCAGCUUUAGUUUACAUGUUCAAUGCCCAAACAUGCAACCUAAGUUCAAGUCCCUCAACCUUUGCCACUUGAACUAAGCCCGUGGAGAGUAGAAUUUGAAUUCAUCAAUAGAGUAGAUGAUUUCUUCUUAUUUGCAAGGAUUGACUUUAUGUUCAAGGGUAUGUUAAGUUUAUAUCACCGAGACACCCUCAACCAGACGUACCGCGGGAACACCACCCCCAUUCAAAUCAAAAUAGAUCAAGCACCUACUACUAAGGGGAAUGAAAGGUUGACCAUAGGGUGAGAGAAUCUUAUAAUACGAGCCCGGUACACGCCCCACAAGCUCAGGAAGACAAAAAAACCUAGAUAACAUUGUACUGUCACAAUACACUCAAUAUCACAAAUAUAAGAAAAACAAGCUCAAAAAAAGUAUCUUUACACACGAAAAGAAGCAAAACAGUAACCUGGGUCAGGUCCUUUGGGAGCAGUAGCACAAAUUUCUUGAUUUGGGCAUCCUUCACAAGCAUCAGAUUUUCCUGCUGUUUCAGAUUGUGGACCUGGGCAAUCUGAAAUUUUAAAAAAAAGAAGCUUAAACAAUGAAACCAAAGAAUAAAGAUGCAAACUUUAAGGUUAAAAUCAAGAAUCUACAUACGUUCAGGAGCAUUCUCUGGGAUUUCACCGUUUUCCAUCUUCUUCAACUAGCACAACAACAAAUUCUAAAUAAAAAUUUAAACUUUAAUAGACUGCUAAAUCAAGAGUUACAGAUUACCAACUAUUGAGGUUUCAAUUGAUGCGGCCCUUUGAGGUUCAGAGAAAUUGCUGUAAAUUUGUCUAUUAGGGCAAUGGAGUUCUAUCCAAAAAAGAGAAAAUAAGGUUUUAAACCGCCUUUGACUUUUAUUUUUUGUUUAUUUAGUCCUUUUGCUCAAUGGGUUAGGAACAAGUUAUUUCGAAUUAAUUAUUUUUAGAUUGUCAUUUCAAUUGGAUAAUAUAAUAAUUUUGGGAUAACUAAUUCGAGAAAAGUUAUUCUCUAAUUGUGUCUUAACUAUUCUUAACAGAACAUGAAACAAACUCAUUCUAAAAUUAAUUUUAUAAUUAGUUACGAGUUUUUAGUAUUGUAUUAUUGUUUUUUAUAUAUAUGAUAAAGUAAUUUUCUUUGAAGCAUAUAAUCAAACAGUUUAUAAGCAUAGUAGAGAUUAACACUUAAGUUUGGCCUAAAUUGGCUAUCAGUACCACCAAUUUGUUCCAAAGAGUAACUGCAUAGCAACCAGUAACCACAUAACACUACUAAAAGCAUAACACAUCAAAGUUCCUGUUGGAGUGGGAAGGAAAAUUUUACAGCAAUCAACCUGUUCGUAAACGCGGAGGUGAUAACAUCCUCCACAUUAUUCAAAGUCGAUUUCACAGAGGGAACAUGUCCGUUUAACAAAUCAUCGUACAAAAAUCACUAGAAAUUGUAUAAUACAUCCAUAUCUAGAGUGAUAAAAGCUCUCAGUUACGAAAAAAUGUUGGUCACAAGUACCCGGAACUUAAUGAAAGAAAAGGUAAAGAAAGCCUAGAAAAAAGUUAUAAAUACUAUGCUCCAUUCUCUGUUGAGAUGUUUUUCUGAGCUAAUAUCUUUUCUAUUAUCAUCUUGAGCGCAGGGGCACUUGCUCGGCGGCAUUUAUCAUCUGAAAAGCAUGAUCUUCCAUCUUCGGCUGCUUUACAUAGCUGAGGAUCCAGUGGUACUUUUCCAAGAAACGGGACAUCCAUAUCGUUGCACAUCUUUGCUGCGCCUCCGCCACUGGUAUCAAAAACUUCACUACAAGCAAUCAAGUUCAGCAUUUCUGGGGCGUUCUCACUGAUAUAAGACAUGGCCCAUUCGGUCAUGUCUUUCUGCUCGCCAGUCUCUGUCAUUCUUGUGAAUUUGAAUUCAGAGAGUGGCUGGGAAAGACCACUCAUGUUCUCAACAACACCAAGAACCUCCACCCCAACUUUCUUGCAAAAACUAACUUCUUUCCUUACAUCUAUCAGAGAUACCUGUUGUGGGGUUGUGACUAAAACUGCACCAUCUAUUCCAGUUGCCUCGAGGGAUUGAACGAUUGUAAUCUGUUCAUCUGACGUUCCAGGUGGAGCAUCAACCACAAGGAAAUCAAGCUCUCCCCAAUCAACAUCUCUGAGGAAUUGCUUAAUUAGACCAGUCUUGCGAGGCCCUCUCCAUAUAGCAGCUUCAUCAGGGUUGGAGAUCAUGAAACCAAUUGAUAUAACCCCAAGGUUAGACUCAACAUAAGCAGGUAUCCAUCCACAAUUACUCCGGUGAAUCUCUCGUCCUUCGAGACCAAGCAUCUUUGGGAUGCUGGGGCCACAGAUAUCAAUGUCAAGGAUACCCACUUCAAAAUUCAUAGCUGCCAAUGCAAAAGCAAGUUGAGCUGAGAAAGUACUCUUACCAACUCCACCUUUGCCAGAUAAAACCAGUAUCUUGUGCUUCACAGUUGCCAUUCUUUCUACUAUUGCAACCAAGUCUGCACGAAACCAUCAAUACCAAACCGUCGAAAAUUUUAGUACUGUAUUAUUGUUUUUUAUAUAUAUGAUAAAGUAAUUUUCUUUGAAGCAUAUAAUCAAACAGUAUAUAAGCUAACACUCAAGUUUGGCCUAAAUUGGCUAUCAGUACCACCAAUUUGUUCCAAAGAGUUGCUGCAUAGCAACCAGUAACCACAUAACACUACUAAAAGCAUAACAUAUCAAAGCUCCUGUUGGAGUGGGAAGGAAAAUUUUACAGCAAUCAACCUGUUCGUAAACGCGGAGAUGAUAACAUCCUCCACAUUAUUCAGAGUCGAUUUCACAGAGGAAACAUGUCCGUUUAACAAAUCAUCGUAUAAAAAUCACUAGAAAUUGUAUAAUACAUCCAUAUCUAGAGUUAUAAAAGCUCUCAGUUACGAAAAAAUGUUGGUCACAAGUACCCGGAACUUAAUGAAAGAAAAGGUAAAGAAAGCCUAGAAAAAAGUUAUAAAUACUAUGCUCCAUUCUCUGUUGAGAUGUUUUUCUGAGCUAAUAUCUUUUCUAUUAUCAUCUUGAGCGCAGGGGCACUUGCCCGGCGGCAUUUAUCAUCUGAAAAGCAUGAUCUUCCAUCUUCGGCUGCUUUACAUAACUGAGGAUCCAGUGGUACUUUUCCAAGAAACGGGACACCCAUAUCGUUGCACAUCUUUGCAGCACCUCCGCCACUGGCAUCAAAAACUUCAGUACAAGCAAUCAAGUUCAGCAUUUCUGGGGCGUUCUCUCUCAUAUAAGACAUGGCCCAUUCGGUCAUGUCUUUCUGCUCGCCAGUUUCUGUCAUUCUUGUGAAUUUGAAUUCUGAGAGUGGCUGGGAAAGACCACUCAUGUUCUCAACAACGCCAAGAACCUCCACCCCAACUUUCUUGCAAAAACUAACUUCUUUCCUUACAUCUAUCAGAGAUACCUGUUGUGGGGUUGUGACUAUAACUGCGCCAUCUAUUCCAGUUGCUUCGAGGGAUUGAACGAUUGUAAUCUGUUCAUCUGACGUUCCAGGUGGAGCAUCAACCACAAGGAAAUCAAGCUCUCCCCAAUCAACAUCUCUGAGGAAUUGCUUAAUUAGACCAGUCUUGCGAGGCCCUCUCCAUAUAGCAGCUUCAUCAGGGUUGGAGAUCAGGAAACCAAUUGAUAUAACCCCAAGGUUAGACUCAACGUAAGCAGGUAUCCAUCCACAAUUACUCCGGCGAAUCUCUCGUCCUUCGAGACCAAGCAUCUUUGGGAUGCUGGGGCCACAGAUAUCAAUGUCAAGGAGACCCACUUGAAAAUCCAUAGCUGCCAA
Molecule: long non-coding RNA, 5378 nt
Filed under: Solanum tuberosum (potato)
Lineage: Eukaryota; Viridiplantae; Streptophyta; Magnoliopsida; Solanales; Solanaceae
Description: long non-coding RNA (STUB_LNC011903)
Source: RNAcentral